UACAUUUUUUUACUUUACUGUCGCGCCUCCUUUCUCACCUUCUGCCGCAGCAGCCAUUCUUGUUAUGAUGCGCUCUUCUUUUCGUCAUUUUCAAAUCCUGUGACACACCUGUCGCCAUUGCCAUCCAUUGCUACACUUUCUGUGAUAGCUCCAUCUUCGCAGUCUGUGUUAUAGUCGAACCUGCGUGGUAGCUAUCUAUGUCGAUGGAGGUGUGGGCGAGGUAAGAGAGAAGCGCAAUGUCAACGUAGAGGCGGUAGAGGAAGAGGAGAAGUAAGAGGAAGUAAGAGGAGAAAAAAAAAAAGAAUCGACAAGUAGGAAAAUAAAGAGGGUAAAGAAAAACGAACGAGCGAGAGGAAUAAGUGUAUUUUAGUUAGUUUACUAAAUAUAUCCGAAAUUAAUAUGUAAAAUGUUAAAAAGUGG
RNAcentral lists this long non-coding RNA (420 nucleotides) under Ananas comosus (pineapple). RNAcentral's name for it is "long non-coding RNA (ACOM_LNC000202)". The record is from RNAcentral. Lineage: Eukaryota; Viridiplantae; Streptophyta; Magnoliopsida; Poales; Bromeliaceae.